CUACGGGAUGCUCCAGUGAGGAAUUUUGCGCAAUGGGGGAAACCCUGACGCAGCAACGCCGCGUGAGUGAAGAAGGCCUUUAGGUCGUAAAGCUCUGUCAACUGGGAAGAAGUUAGAAUCUAUUAAUAGUAGAUUUUAUUGACGGUACCAGUGGAGGAAGCGCCGGCUAACUCCGUGCCAGCAGCGCGCGGUAACACGGGGGGCGCAAGCGUUAUUCGGAAUUAUUGGGCGUAAAGGGCGCGCAGGCGGUCUUGUCAGUCAGGUGUGAAAGCCCGGGGCUCAACCCUGGAAGUGCACUUGAAACAGCAAGACUUGAGUACGGGAGAGGAGAGAGGAAUUCCUGGUGUAGAGGUGAAAUUCGUAGAUAUCAGGAGGAACACCGAUGGCGAAGGCAUCUCUCUGGACCGAUACUGACGCUGAGGCGCGAAGGCGUGGGUAGCGAACGGGAUUAGAUACCCUAGUAGUC
This 466-nucleotide ribosomal RNA is filed under the name uncultured bacterium. Its description in RNAcentral is "partial 16S ribosomal RNA". It matches the Rfam family "Bacterial small subunit ribosomal RNA", at positions 339 to 795 of the family's 1533-position model. The record is from RNAcentral.